This 225-nucleotide unclassified non-coding RNA is filed under the name plant metagenome. Its description in RNAcentral is "partial contains small subunit ribosomal RNA, internal transcribed spacer 1, and 5.8S ribosomal RNA". The stretch from base 177 to 225 matches the Rfam family "5.8S ribosomal RNA", at positions 1 to 49 of the family's 154-position model. The record is from RNAcentral.
UCUCCGUAGGUGAACCUGCGGAGGGAUCAUUACUGAGUGAGGGCCUCUGGCCCGACCUCCAACCCUUUGAUGUCCGACUCUGUUGCCUCGGGGGCGACCCGGCCUUCGGGCCCGGGGCCCCCCGUGGUCCACUCAACUCUGCAUCUUUGCGUCUGAGUAAACAUUAAAUGAAACAAAACUUUCAACAACGGAUCUCUUGGUUCUGGCAGCGAUGAAGAACGCAGC